Molecule: ribosomal RNA, 290 nt
Filed under: uncultured bacterium
Lineage: Bacteria
Description: partial 16S ribosomal RNA
Rfam family: Bacterial small subunit ribosomal RNA
Source: RNAcentral
GAUGAACGCUGGCGGCGUGAAUCCUUUUUGCAAGUCAAGGGGGCUCGCAAGACCAACCGGCAAACAAGGUAGUAAUAAUUAGGUACGUACCCAGGAGUCGGGCAUAGCUCGUCAAAAGACGGGGUAAUUCCCGAUAAUCUCGCAAGAGCAAAUUUUUUCGCUCCUGGAACGGCCUGAUCAAUAUCAGCUAGUUGGUAGGGUAACGGCCUACCAAGGCAAUGACGUCUAGGGAACCUGAGAGGGUGACCCCCACCGAUGGGACUGAAACACGGCCCAUACACCUACGGGUG